CCCUACGGGGCGCAGCAGGCAUUGACGGCCAGAUCAUGCCGCCGGUAAUGGGGGCUGCCGCCUUUAUCAUGGCCGAAUACCUGAACGUGCCGUACCUGGCUGUGGUUAAAGCAGCGGUCAUUCCUGCGGUGCUCUCAUAUUGCGGUCUUUUUUACAUCACGCACGUGGAGGCAUGCAAACUGGGGAUGAAGGGCAUGAGCCGCGAGGAAUUGCCCAGGUUUCGGGAGGAGUUCUUCAAAGGUUUUCAUUACUUGAUCCCUAUGGCUGCAUUGGUGGUGGAACUAGUCUGGUUCAGGCAUUCGCCCCAGCUCUCCGUAAUGAGGGCUAUCGUAGUGCUCGCCGGGAUCAUUGUGGCGCAACAGAGCGUUCAGGCAUGGCGAGGCAAGAAGGGGGGCUGGAGCGGGCUUCGGGAAGCCGUACACAUCCUCCUGGAGAGC
RNAcentral lists this ribosomal RNA (437 nucleotides) under uncultured prokaryote. Its description in RNAcentral is "partial 16S ribosomal RNA". The record is from RNAcentral.